Pelobates cultripes (western spadefoot toad) is the source of this 220-nucleotide non-coding RNA. The record is from the annotation of a GenBank genome assembly. Lineage: Eukaryota; Metazoa; Chordata; Amphibia; Anura; Pelobatidae.
AUCCAGUACAGAAACAAGACUAGAAUAGACACCAAACAAGAAAACAAGACAAAAUUAGGAGAACCCAGAACCGGAGCAGGACAGAAAUCAGAACCCAUAACAUGUACACAAGACAUGAGGAAAACAAGAACAGGACAGGACAGGACUGUACAUGAACUGGGAAUACAAGACAAAAUAAAACAAGACAAGAGAUACAAGACAAAACAAGAGGAGAUAUAAC